This 120-nucleotide ribosomal RNA is filed under the name Helianthus annuus (common sunflower). The record is from RNAcentral. Lineage: Eukaryota; Viridiplantae; Streptophyta; Magnoliopsida; Asterales; Asteraceae.
CGGUGCGAUCAUACCAGCACUAAUGCACCGGAUCCCAUCAGAACUCCGCAGUUAAGCGUGCUUGGGCGAGAGUAGUACUAGGAUGGGUUGACCCCCUGGGAAGUCCUCGUGUUGCAACCC